GAUGAACGCUGGCGGCGUGCCUAAUACAUGCAAGUCGAGCGAACGGACGAGAAGCUUGCUCCUCUGAUGUUAGCGGCGGACGGGUGAGUAACACGUGGAUAACCUACCUAUAAGACUGGGAUAACUUCGGGAAACCGGAGCUAAUACCGGAUAAUAUUUUGAACCGCAUGGUUCAAAAGUGAAAGACGGUCUUGCUGUCACUUAUAGAUGGAUCCGCGCUGCAUUAGCUAGUUGGUAAGGUAACGGCUUACCAAGGCAACGAUGCAUAGCCGACCUGAGAGGGUGAUCGGCCACACUGGAACUGAGACACGGUCCAGACUCCUACGGGAGGCAGCAGUAGGGAAUCUUCCGCAAUGGGCGAAAGCCUGACGGAGCAACGCCGCGUGAGUGAUGAAGGUCUUCGGAUCGUAAAACUCUGUUAUUAGGGAAGAACAUAUGUGUAAGUAACUGUGCACAUCUUGACGGUACCUAAUCAGAAAGCCACGGCUAACUACGU
Molecule: ribosomal RNA, 496 nt
Filed under: uncultured bacterium
Lineage: Bacteria
Description: partial 16S ribosomal RNA
Rfam family: Bacterial small subunit ribosomal RNA
Source: RNAcentral